CCUCGCGCUCUCUCCCCCCCCCCCCCGCACCUCCCGCCCAAAGCGACGACGCAACCAAUUGGCCAACCUGAGUCUCCCAUUUGGGCUGGUUUACUUUCCAGAGUUCAAUUCUCCGCCACCUUCCCUCUCCGCCACACACCCCACCACCACACGCGCGCGCUGCCUCGGACGCCUCCUUCCCUUCCCUUCCCUUCCCUUGCCCUCCCCCCCCCCCAGCCGCCGCUGCCGCCGCCGUCGAGCUUGGUUUCCUCAGGGUCGAGGGUGGUGCUGGCGGUGCCCCCCCCCGCCGUCAGGAAAGACCGAGGUCUGAGGGUGGGGGAGGGGGGUCUCCGUUUUACCUGAGGGAGGGUGAGGGGAACCAAAGAAGGAAGGGGGGAAAGAACACACACACACACACACACACACACACACACACACACAGCCUCCCGUUCCCCUUCCCGCCUUCUCUCCGCUCGCUAUCCAGCCGGACCAUUGGACCGACUAGCCCGCCUGCCUGCCUCCGCUCUGCAGCCCCUCCGCUCCCGCCUCAGCCGAGGAAUCCUGCCGCCGGUCUUGCCGCUCGCUUCUGCCUGCCGCCGCUGCCUCUAACCCCGGCCGUCGGCUAGGCAAGGCUGGGCUGGGCGGUUCUCCUAGAGCAGAGGCGCGAGGCGCGCAGCCCCGGGACUCGGCUCGCCGCCGCCGCCGCCGCGCGCGAGUCACCCCGGCUGAUGACGGAUCAUUAAGAAGAAGUGGCCUUAGCGUCCCGUCCUCCCUCCCCGCUCCCCGCCACCUGGCGCCUCUCUUUUACAGCAGAGGAUGCGCGCGGAUAAGUGGCGGAAGAGGGGCGUGCGCGCGCGCGCGUGUGAAGAUGGUGAUGGAGAUGGACCGGGAGAGCCAUCCUCCUCCUCUCCCGAUCCCCAACUGCAGGCAUCUAUUUCUCUCUCUAUAUAUAUCAAAGGAGACUUCACUAGUUUCUCCUUGACAGGGGCUGAUCUGUUAACCCAGGAACUACCUAGAAGGUUGGUAUCAUUGUGGAAGAAAAUCCUUCAUUUCCUGUGUGCUCAACUCUUUCCAGGUUUUCUGAUCAUGGGGUCUUUGAAGUUUCCGAAGUCCUGUGUGUUCCAAAGUUAUUCAACAUUCACAACCUCGGUGGUGGAUCCAUCAUGCGUUCCUGGUGUCAAUGAACUUCAUGGACUUGCAGAAAUAGAAGAGCGGGGAAAAGUAAGGCUACCUGUGCUGUAAUUAGAAUGAUGAUCUGUCCCAUUGUCAAUGAUUUCCAUUUAAGCAUUAUUAAAAUCUUAAUCGAGAAUAUACUUUCAGUCUAACUGGAACUGGGCAAUUUAUUCUUAAAUUCCACUAUAAUAUGUAUGCUUCGUUUUUCAAAAGAGCUGUGCCUUCUGGGAAACCUAGAACUGAUUCCAACUAUCUGUCUUAAGCAGAUCCAAGAAAUGUUUGCAUGAAACUAGAUGCCGGAAGCCAGAAGGCCUUUCAUAGGCACACUUGUGUGAUGAGUCGUCUCCUCCUUGUCACAAAGUUGCAUCAUUUUUGGCUAUGGCCUGCAUAUUUUUGGAAUGCAGCAUUAAGAGGAAAUAAUUGGCCAAUCCUGAAAUUUAGCCAAGAGUUCUGAACUCCUACCUAACUCUUGUCUUUCUUCUUCAUAUUUGUCAUUUCAAUCUGCCAGCGUUUCAGUCUUCCAGCCCGAAUUCUUUCUAUGCAAUUUAAUAAAGUACUUUUUUUGGGGGGGUAGUAAUAUCCCAAAUGUGUUUUGGAAAAUUGUAUGGAAAGUCUUGUAGAAGGUGUAUGAGUAAUUGUGCUCACAACAUGUCUGUCAAACAUACUGGGGAAUAAUCAAUUAAGUUUUACCCAGAGUAGACUCAUUGAACAUGACUAAGUUAGGCUCAUUAGUUACAAUGGGUCCAUUCUAAGUAAAGUGUAUUUAAAUACCACUCAUUGUGUGUAUGAAGAUGCUUUAAUCUUCAGGGCAAGAACCCAUUAAUCACCUGGAACAGCUCCAUUACAUAACACAGGGAUAAGCUUAAUUCAUGUUUCUACAGUGUAUUCCUAUGUGCAGGUCCUCUUGUGUUCAAUGGGGAUUACAUUAUUGUUAUUUAAAAUUUUUGGUCACCUUUUUCAAAAAGCCCCAAGGCAACUUGCAGAAAUAGAAAAUGUAUAAAAGAAAUAUUUUAAAAUAAAAAUUAUAAACUUAUACAUUUUGUAAGUUUAAAACCAGUAAAUAAACAACAACAAAUCCAUAUAAUACUAAAAACAUGUACCCCAUAAGUAUCAACAAAAUCAAAUGUUAAGUUUAAAAGAAUUUUGAUUUGGAAAACCAUUAAAAUGAUUCGCACUGAAAUCCAAUUGGGGGAUACGAGGAAGUCACUUAACAAUGUUAAUAAGAUUAGUUUUAAUAAGGUUAUGAUUUAUGUUUGUCUGUUUGUAUGUUUGUGUGUUUAUAAUUUUGUGAAAAUCAAUAAUUUUUUUUGAAAACAACAACCCAAAAUCAAAUGUGUGCAUGGUUAAGUGCAGCCUUAGUGUGCUGGAUGAACUGGGCUUCCAAGUAAGUCUCUUAUUUUUAGACUGUCACAAAAGGGUGACGCUAUUGUGCACACCUGUGAAACUGGAACAGAACAACUCCCCAGCUGAAAAGCUGAAUAUUGUGUUAUUAUUAUUUAUUUAAUUUGUAUACCGCCCUAUACCUGGGGGUCUCAGGGCAGUAAGACUCUCAGAGACUUUUGAAUGUAUAAAGUGAUAUAAAGUCUAAUUAAUCAAAUUAAAAUUAAGUAGAAUCAAUAGAAAAGAAACUGUGGACCAGGUAAGAAACAAUAUUUCAAAUCCACAGAGGUGGACAAAUUUAGCAAGAAUGAUGAGCGAAGGAGAUGUCACAGAUUUGCUUCUGCCUACUCACAGUGAUUACAACAGAGAAAUUCCAAGCUGAAUAUAAGAUUGUGCGCAUGCACAUUUAGUUGGUUGUACUUUGAAACAAUGCAUCGUAGCUCAGUGACAGAGAAUCUUCUUGGAAUGCAGAAGUCUCAGAUUCAAUCCCUGUCAUCUCCAGCCGUUGUCCCAGAGAGCUACUGAACUAGGUGGAACAAUGGCCUGAUUCAGUAGAAGGUAACUUCCUACGUUGCUAUGAUUUACUUACAGCUUUUAAGCAUGAAAGCCAAAGCUGUACUAAUUCCCAGCUGUGAAUAAUUCAGAUUAGAUACUCAUUAAAUUAACAUUGAUAGCCUAUCUGAUGGAAACAUCAUUGCUGGAUUAGUGUUCUUGCACUAAAUCUGAAGGGCAGGGCUGGGAGUAGAGUUUUUUUU
Molecule: long non-coding RNA, 3287 nt
Organism: Podarcis raffonei (Aeolian wall lizard)
Lineage: Eukaryota; Metazoa; Chordata; Lepidosauria; Squamata; Lacertidae
Exons: 4
Source: RefSeq, a predicted model, not a curated record